GUGGGCAUUUUCGCUGGAGCGAAGAAACUGCGCCACAAGACAAAACGGGGUUAUUAUCUCCCCACUGUGCCGCUGCCACGCCCCCUGUGCAACGCCCUAGUCUGGGCAUAUAUAGUCAUUCAUCUAUUUUCCACCAGGUAGUCAGAUGCUGUUGUUGGCUGCUGUUGCCGUUGUCAUUGUCGGCGAUCAUAUCAAAGCGGCGCAAAUUUCCUGCCGGCAUACAGAUAAGCAAGAGUGUAGGAGUUCGGGAGCUAAAUAAAAAAGGCACCAAAAACUGAUGGCGAGGGGAGCCUGGCGACAGUGGAAAGCAGAAGGCUCCGAUCCUGACCACUUCCAGGCGACCUAACCUGGCGUCUAUCUAAUUGUUGUCUCCAUACCCUCCGAUAAAUAAAGAAUCGCCCACAUUUUGGACCAACGCUUUUCUGACCGUGUGCCUGCGGACAACCGCUUAGAUGGCGAGCCGGACAAACGGAUGCUUGGAAGGAUGGAUGACUGGGGAAUUGGAUUCUCCGAUUGUUGUUGCUGCGAGCGGACGGAAGCUAUCGGCCUGGCGGAAGUGAACGGCCGCCGUUGGCGUUUUGGCCACGUGAUCGGAAGGAAGCGCAACUUGCGAAUUGAAACAUCCGAUGCAGACGACAAGGACAUCGAGAUGUCUCGAUGUCAGCAGCAGCGUACUUCGUCCUACGUCCUUCGGCCUUCUUCCUGCGUGUCCUCGAGUGUCCUCGGGCAAAGUGACACCAAAUUGUCGGCUAAUCUGUCGAUGACUUUCACCCCCGAAAGCCAAAACACCAAAAAACACCCAACCCCUCGAACCAUCAGAUGGGAAAUUUAAUUUGCACCCAACAACGGAUGAAGCAACUGCUCUGAAUACAAAUAUAUGCCACUUUUUUUCGAAUUACUUGUAAACUGAAUUAGGGUAAGCCGUAAUCUGCAAUUCAAAAGUUUUUCAAGGAGAAAUAAAAGGAAUUAUCUAAGCGUAUGGCGAUAGUAGUAACAGUUGUAAUCCUCGGUAUUAUCCUUGCUUUAGUGACAAAUCGAAGUGUUUAUUUAUUAAAUACUAACUUAAGUGAACGUAAAGUAAAAUAAAG
Molecule: long non-coding RNA, 1088 nt
Organism: Drosophila mauritiana
Lineage: Eukaryota; Metazoa; Arthropoda; Insecta; Diptera; Drosophilidae
Exons: 3
Source: RefSeq, a predicted model, not a curated record